RNAcentral lists this ribosomal RNA (482 nucleotides) under uncultured bacterium. Its description in RNAcentral is "partial 16S ribosomal RNA". It matches the Rfam family "Bacterial small subunit ribosomal RNA", at positions 30 to 507 of the family's 1533-position model. The record is from RNAcentral.
AUUUAACGCUGGCGGCAUGCUUUACACAUGCAAGUCGAACGGUAACAGGCCGCAAGGUGCUGACGAGUGGCGAACGGGUGAGUAAUGCAUCGGAACGUGCCCAGUCGUGGGGGAUAACUACUCGAAAGAGUAGCUAAUACCGCAUACGAUCUAUGGAUGAAAGCGGGGGACCGUAAGGCCUCGCGCGAUUGGAGCGGCCGAUGUCAGAUUAGGUAGUUGGUGGGGUAAAGGCUCACCAAGCCAACGAUCUGUAGCUGGUCUGAGAGGACGACCAGCCACACUGGGACUGAGACACGGCCCAGACUCCUACGGGAGGCAGCAGUGGGGAAUGUUGGACAAUGGGCGCAAGCCUGAUCCAGCAAUGCCGCGUGCAGGAAGAAGGCCUUCGGGUUGUAAACUGCUUUUGUACGGAACGAAACGGCUCUGGUUAAUACCCGGGGCUAAUGACGGUACCGUAAGAAUAAGCACCGGCUAACUACGUG